UGGGGAAUUUUGGACAAUGGGCGAAAGCCUGAUCCAGCAAUGCCGCGUGUGUGAAGAAGGCCUUCGGGUUGUAAAGCACUUUUGUCCGGAAAGAAAUCCUUGGCUCUAAUACAGUCGGGGGAUGACGGUACCGGAAGAAUAAGCACCGGCUAACUACGUGCCAGCAGCCGCGGUAAUACGUAGGGUGCAAGCGUUAAUCGGAAUUACUGGGCGUAAAGCGUGCGCAGGCGGUUUGCUAAGACCGAUGUGAAAUCCCCGGGCUCAACCUGGGAACUGCAUUGGUGACUGGCAGGCUAGAGUAUGGCAGAGGGGGGUAGAAUUCCACGUGUAGCAGUGAAAUGCGUAGAGAUGUGGAGGAAUACCGAUGGCGAAGGCAGCCCCCUGGGCCAAUACUGACGCUCAUGCACGAAAGCGUGGGGGAGCAAACAGGAUUAGAUACCCUGGUAGUCCCACGCCCUAAACGAUGUCAACUAGUUGUUGGGGGACUUCAUUUUCCUUAGUAACGUAGCUAACGCGUGAAGUUGACCGCCUGGGGAGUACGGUCGCAAGAUUAAAACUCAAAUGAAUUGACGGGGUCAUAGCUGUUUCCU
Molecule: ribosomal RNA, 590 nt
Filed under: uncultured bacterium
Lineage: Bacteria
Description: partial 16S ribosomal RNA
Rfam family: Bacterial small subunit ribosomal RNA
Source: RNAcentral